UUUGCCUGCCAACCAUACAUUCUAAGGGUUUGAGAGGUCUAGGGGUAUAUAUUCAUUUACUGUGCAUAUGUGCAUCCCUCUAGCAAAACCAGAUGGCACCUGUAGCAUGAACUGUAGGUUGUGGGUAUCUUUUGACCCAGACAUACUACUACUGGGUAUUUAUCUUGAAGAAAUUUCAACAGGAGGAAAAUAUAUGGACCUGAAAAUGUGUAUGGAGCCUCACUUUAUAGCAGUCAUUUUUAGUUUUUAUUUUAAAUUUAUUUAUUUA
This is a long non-coding RNA of Neofelis nebulosa (Clouded leopard), 268 nucleotides long. RefSeq lists it as uncharacterized. Lineage: Eukaryota; Metazoa; Chordata; Mammalia; Carnivora; Felidae. The record is from RefSeq and is a predicted model, not a curated record. The transcript is spliced from 2 exons.